AUAGCUGGUUCUCCCCGAAAUAGCUUUAGGGCUAGCCUCAAGGUGAGAGAUACGGAGGUAGAGCACUGAAUGUCCUAGGGGGUAUUGAACCUACCGAAGACUAUCAAACUCCGAAUGCCGUCAUCUUAUACUUGGGAGUCAGACUGUGGGUGAUAAGAUUCAUAGUCGAAAGGGCAACAGCCCAGAUCGUCAGCUAAGGUCCCUAAAUGUAAGUU
RNAcentral lists this ribosomal RNA (215 nucleotides) under Clostridioides difficile. Its description in RNAcentral is "partial 23S ribosomal RNA". It matches the Rfam family "Bacterial large subunit ribosomal RNA", at positions 845 to 1060 of the family's 2925-position model. Lineage: Bacteria; Bacillati; Bacillota; Clostridia; Peptostreptococcales; Peptostreptococcaceae. The record is from RNAcentral.